UGGGGAAUAUUGCACAAUGGGCGCAAGCCUGAUGCAGCCAUGCCGCGUGUAUGAAGAAGGCCUUCGGGUUGUAAAGUACUUUCAGCGGGGAGGAAGGGAGUAAAGUUAAUCCCUUUGCUCAUUGACGUUACCCGCAGAAGAAGCACCGGCUAACUCCGGGCCAGCAGCCGCGGUAAUACGGAGGGUGCAAGCGUUAAUCGGAAUUACUGGGCGUAAAGCGCACGCAGGCGGUUUGUUAAGUCAGAUGUGAAAUCCCCGGGCUCAACCUGGGAACUGCAUCUGAUACUGGCAAGCUUGAGUCUCGUAGAGGGGGGUAGAAUUCCAGGUGUAGCGGUGAAAUGCGUAGAGAUCUGGAGGAAUACCGGUGGCGAAGGCGGCCCCCUGGACGAAGACUGACGCUCAGGUGCGAAAGCGUGGGGAGCAAACAGG
RNAcentral lists this ribosomal RNA (429 nucleotides) under Chloroflexota bacterium. RNAcentral describes it as "Chloroflexi bacterium partial 16S ribosomal RNA". It matches the Rfam family "Bacterial small subunit ribosomal RNA", at positions 355 to 776 of the family's 1533-position model. Lineage: Bacteria; Bacillati; Chloroflexota. The record is from RNAcentral.